This 71-nucleotide transfer RNA is filed under the name Endomicrobium sp. Its description in RNAcentral is "tRNA-Gly". It matches the Rfam family "tRNA". From Rfam's summary of the family: Transfer RNA (tRNA) molecules are approximately 80 nucleotides in length. Their secondary structure includes four short double-helical elements and three loops (D, anti-codon, and T loops). Further hydrogen bonds mediate the characteristic L-shaped molecular structure. tRNAs have two regions of fundamental functional importance: the anti-codon, which is responsible for specific mRNA codon recognition, and the 3' end, to which the tRNAs corresponding amino acid is attached (by aminoacyl-tRNA synthetases). tRNAs cope with the degeneracy of the genetic code in two manners: having more than one tRNA (with a specific anti-codon) for a particular amino acid; and 'wobble' base-pairing, i.e. permitting non-standard base-pairing at the 3rd anti-codon position. RNAcentral also lists the same sequence under 1 other name. The record is from RNAcentral. Lineage: Bacteria; Pseudomonadati; Elusimicrobiota; Endomicrobiia; Endomicrobiales; Endomicrobiaceae.
GCGGGAGUAGCACAAUGGUAGUGCUUCAGCCUUCCAAGCUGGCCACGCGGGUUCGAUUCCCGUCUCCCGCU